RNAcentral lists this ribosomal RNA (451 nucleotides) under uncultured bacterium. RNAcentral describes it as "bacterial SSU rRNA". It matches the Rfam family "Bacterial small subunit ribosomal RNA", at positions 354 to 796 of the family's 1533-position model. The record is from RNAcentral.
GUGGGGAAUUUUGCGCAAUGGGGGAAACCCUGACGCAGCAACGCCGCGUGAGUGAUGAAGGCCCUUGGGUCGUAAAGCUCUGACAGAGGGAAAGAAAUGCAGGGGAGCUAAUAUCUCCCUUGCUUGACGGUACCCUCAAAGGAAGCACCGGCUAACUCCGUGCCAGCAGCCGCGGUAAUACGGGGGGUGCAAGCGUUGUUCGGAUUUAUUGGGCGUAAAGCGCGUGUAGGCGGUUUUAUAAGUCUGAUGUGAAAGCCCUGGGCUCAACCCGGGAAGUGCAUUGGAUACUGUAAGACUUGAAUACGGGAGAGGGCAGUGGAAUUCCUAGUGUAGGAGUGAAAUCCGUAGAUAUUAGGAGGAACACCGGUGGCGAAGGCGGCUGCCUGGACCGAUAUUGACGCUGAGACGCGAAAGCGUGGGUAGCAAACAGGAUUAGAUACCCCUGUAGUCC